Molecule: long non-coding RNA, 855 nt
Organism: Bolinopsis microptera
Lineage: Eukaryota; Metazoa; Ctenophora; Tentaculata; Lobata; Bolinopsidae
Exons: 3
Source: RefSeq, a predicted model, not a curated record
UACAUUUUAAUAGGUAAAAUGUGCACCCUCAUCUUCCUCCUUCACCCCUCGUCUGCCUGCCAAAACUUAUCCCAAAAGGUAUUCAUUAACAGACGACGUGUAAUAGACGAACACUUGGAGUAGACGUCAACAUCAUCAACCCCAAAUCAGAGAUAGCUCAAAAAUAUCUGCUGCCCAACUGUCUGACCCGGUUUCCACACAAAUGUGUCUGUCUGCCUGAUUUCCUGACAAGUUGGAAAGGGACAUUUACAAAUGAGAAAAAAACAAUUCAAACUUUUUAACCACUGCCCAAACAGAAUGUUUCAUGUUGAUAUAUAUAUAUCAUUUAAAUUUUGUGCUAAUUUGAUUAAAUAUCGAGUUUGGUUAAAUAUAUAUCAUUUAAAUUUUGUGCUAAUUUGAUUAAAUAUCGAGUUUGGUUAAAAAUUAAUUAGAUAUUUUUUCUCGCAAAUUUUUAUAUUUAUCCCUGCUGAUUAUUUAAAAGAAUGUUAUGUUUAUAGAACAUAAUAGAGAAUGUUAUGUUUAUAGAACUGAAUCAGUCAAUAACAAUUUUAUUUCUCAUCUCUAGUUCUCGACCAGUCAAAAUUAAAUAUCAAUAGUAUUAGUUCUUAAUUUAUACUAAUAAAAUUUAGAGGAUUACUUUAAACAUUCUGUAACGGUUAAUUAAACAAUUGUUCAACCUGUAAACGUGGCUUCUAUCGGUUAUUUACUCGCUUGUAUUGUUUGUUGAGACCCUUGAGAUAAAUUAUAUAUCACAUGUAUAGUAUACGACUGAACGAAAUAUUUUGAUUUUUUAAAUGUUUACAGAAUUGUUUGUGAUAAUUUAUUUCGUAUCCACACUAUGAUAAUCUAUUUUAA